Molecule: ribosomal RNA, 1053 nt
Filed under: uncultured Thorsellia sp.
Lineage: Bacteria; Pseudomonadati; Pseudomonadota; Gammaproteobacteria; Enterobacterales; Thorselliaceae
Description: bacterial SSU rRNA
Rfam family: Bacterial small subunit ribosomal RNA
Source: RNAcentral
AUUAGCUAGUUGGUGAGGUAAUGGCUCACCAAGGCGACGAUCUCUAGCUGGUCUGAGAGGAUGAUCAACCACACUGGGACUGAGACACGGCCCAGACUCCUACGGGAGGCAGCAGUGGGGAAUAUUGGACAAUGGGGGCAACCCUGAUCCAGCCAUGCCGCGUGUGUGAAGAAGGCCUUCGGGUUGUAAAGCACUUUCAUUGGUGAGGAAGGAGGUAAAGCUAAUAUCUUUAUCUAUUGACGUUAACCAAAGAAGAAGCACCGGCUAACUCCGUGCCAGCAGCCGCGGUAAUACGGAGGGUGCGAGCGUUAAUCGGAAUUACUGGGCGUAAAGGGCAUGCAGGCGGUUACAUAAGUCAGGUGUGAAAUCCCCGCGCUUAACGUGGGCAUUGCAUUUGAAACUAUGUAGCUAGAGUUCUGUAGAGGGGGGUAGAAUUCCAGGUGUAGCGGUGAAAUGCGUAGAGAUCUGGAGGAAUACCGAUUGCGAAGGCAGCCCCCUGGACAGUGACUGACGCUCAUAUGCGAAAGCGUGGGGAUCAAACAGGAUUAGAUACCCUGGUAGUCCACGCUGUCAACGAUGUCGAUUUGGAGGUUGUGGCUUUAAGCCGUGGCUUCCGAAGCUAACGCGUUAAAUCGACCGCCUGGGGAGUACGGCCGCAAGGUUAAAACUCAAAUGAAUUGACGGGGGCCCGCACAAGCGGUGGAGCAUGUGGUUUAAUUCGAUGCAACGCGAAGAACCUUACCUACUCUUGACAUCCAGAGAAUCCUGUAGAGAUACGGGAGUGCCUUCGGGAACUCUGAGACAGGUGCUGCAUGGCUGUCGUCAGCUCGUGUUGUGAAAUGUUGGGUUAAGUCCCGCAACGAGCGCAACCCUUAUCCUUUGUUGCUAGCGGUUCGGCCGAGAACUCAAAGGAGACUGCCAGUGAUAAACUGGAGGAAGGUGGGGAUGACGUCAAGUCAUCAUGGCCCUUGCGAGUAGGGCUACACACGUGCUACAAUGGGGUAUACAAAGAGAGGCAAGCUCGCGAGAGUAAGCGGAACUCAUAAAGUACCU